RNAcentral lists this ribosomal RNA (433 nucleotides) under uncultured bacterium. RNAcentral's name for it is "partial 16S ribosomal RNA". It matches the Rfam family "Bacterial small subunit ribosomal RNA", at positions 29 to 507 of the family's 1533-position model. The record is from RNAcentral.
AACGAACGCUGGCGGCAGGCCUAACACAUGCGAGUCGAGCGAGGACUUCGGUCCUAGCGGCGGACGGGUGAGUAACGCGUGGGAACGUGCCCUUUGCUUCGGAAUAGCCCUGGGAAACUGGGAGUCAUACCGGAUGAGCCCUUUGGGGGAAAGAUUUAUCGGCCAAGGAUCGGCCCGCGUUGGAUUAGGUAGUUGGUGGGGUAAUGGCCUACCAAGCCGACGAUCCAUAGCUGGUUUGAGAGGAUGAUCAGCCACACUGGGACUGAGACACGGCCCAGACUCCUACGGGAGGCAGCAGUGGGGAAUCUUAGACAAUGGGGGAAACCCUGAUAGAGCCAUGCCGCGUGAGCGAUGAAGGCCUUAGGGUUGUAAAGCUCUUUCAGCUGGGAAGAUAAUGACGGUACCAGCAGAAGAAGCCCCGGCUAACUCCGUG